Molecule: ribosomal RNA, 1112 nt
Filed under: Paromalostomum minutum
Lineage: Eukaryota; Metazoa; Platyhelminthes; Dolichomicrostomida; Dolichomacrostomidae
Description: eukaryotic LSU rRNA
Rfam family: Eukaryotic large subunit ribosomal RNA
Source: RNAcentral
AGCAUAUUACUAAGCGGAGGAAAAGAAACCAACAGGGAUUCUCCCAGUAACGGCGAGUGAAGGGAGAAAAGCCCAGCACUGAAUCCUGCAGCUAUUCGCUGUUAGGAAUUGUAGUGUUUAGGUAACUUCGCAUGUACAGCGCAACUUACUUUAAGUCCGCCUGAUUGUGGCUCAAGCCCAGAGAGGGUGUAAGGCCCGUAAAAGUGAGAAGCGUUAGUGCUUGAAGUUGUCCUUGGAGUCGAGUUGUUUGGGAAUGCAGCUCAAAACGGGUGGUAAGCUCCAUCUAAGGCUAAAUACUGCCACGAGUCCGAUAGCUAACAAGUACUGUGAAGGAAAGUUGAAAAGAACUUUGAAGAGAGAGUUCAAUAGUACGUGAAACCGCUUAGAGGCAAACGGAUGAAGCUGAAACUAGUCCGAGGGAUUCAACCGCGCUUGCCGUAGCCGCGCUGUUGCUAGGAUUUAAUAAACCUACAUUAGCGUUGAGUUGCGGUAGCGCGGCGCACUUUCCUCGCGGCUUUCACCACGACUGACAGCGUGGUCAGUCUGCGUUGGCGGAAGGUAGCUUUUAACUCUUCGGGGUUAAAAGUGUUAUAGACGUCUUCUACGUUUGACUGGUUUUGUGUCAGAGCUGGCGGCGCCCGCCCUUUGGGCUCGCAUGGUUGGCUUGUUGAGGCUUCUGCUGGUUGCACUGCUUGCAGUUCUGCUGCGCAGCUUAGCUCCUUCUAGGUUAGCCCUCUGCGAGUUGGCGCCAAUAGUCUGUGGUGUUUUUGUAAGUCUUUCAUCUGACCCGUCUUGAAACACGGACCAAGGAGUCUAACAUGUGCGCGAGUCAUUGGAUUUUACGAAAUUCAAAGGCAAAGUGAAGGUAAAGGUUGCAUUAAUGCAGCUAAGGUGGGAUAUGGCUAAAUAAAGUCAUCGCAGCACCGGCUCGUUCUAUUUGUUUUCAAAGGAGCGACGCAAGAGCGUACACGCUGGGACCCGAAAGAUGGUGAACUAUGCUUGCGCAGGUCGAAGCCAGACGAAAGUCUGGUGGAGGACCGCAGCGUUUCUGACGUGCAAAUCGAUCGUCAAACGUGAGUAUAGGGGCGAAAGACUAAUCGAACCAUCUAGUA